GGGGAUGUUUGGAUUCGAUGGCAUGUUCUUGUAAAAUACGCGCGAAACCGAGCAACGCUUUGUGCGCUCGUAAAACUCACCAAAGCAUCCAAUAAGUGCAAAAAACACUUUAGCGAAAGUGCAGGCCGCCUUCUCAUGGAAGGUGCCGGCUUUCGUCACCGUCGCCGCUUAAUCUUAAGCGCGCGGCCAUCCGGUCUGGCAAUGACCUGCUAGCCAAAUCCCGGGUGUCAUUUUUGCAGGCGUAGGUUUGCCGUUGCGGCGUUGGGCAACAAACCGAAAUCCUUCAAUGCCACGCCACAAGCGCUUUUGCCUUAUUUUUAGCUUGUGGUAAAAUCCAAAUAGGGCUUACGUUUCGUACACGCGUAUUUACACGCUUGCCAGACGCGGGUUCGAUUCCCGCCAUCUCCACUA
RNAcentral lists this transfer-messenger RNA (411 nucleotides) under Patescibacteria group. RNAcentral's name for it is "XYC2-FULL-47-12 sp001778285 Standard tmRNA". It matches the Rfam family "transfer-messenger RNA". Rfam says of the family: Bacterial tmRNA, also known as 10Sa RNA or SsrA, is named for its dual tRNA and mRNA-like properties. The record is from RNAcentral. RNAcentral also lists the same sequence under 2 other names.